UACGUAGGGGGCAAGCGUUGUCCGGAAUCAUUGGGCGUAAAGAGCGCGCAGGCGGUCGUUCAAGUCGCGUGUGAAAGCCUCCGGCUCAACUGGGGAGGGUCACGCGAUACUGAUCGACUCGAAGGCAGGAGAGGGAAGUGGAAUUCCCGGUGUAGUGGUGAAAUGCGUAGAUAUCGGGAGGAACACCAGUGGCGAAGGCGGGUCUCUGGGCCGAAAUUGACGCUGAGGAGCGAAAGCGUGGGGAGCAAACAGG
This 253-nucleotide ribosomal RNA is filed under the name uncultured bacterium. RNAcentral describes it as "partial 16S ribosomal RNA". It matches the Rfam family "Bacterial small subunit ribosomal RNA", at positions 524 to 776 of the family's 1533-position model. The record is from RNAcentral.